CCCUACGGGAGGCAGCAGUAGGGAAUCUUCCACAAUGGACGAAAGUCUGAUGGAGCAACGCCGCGUGAGUGAAGAAGGGUUUCGGCUCGUAAAGCUCUGUUGGUAGUGAAGAAAGAUAGAGGUAGUAACUGGCCUUUAUUUGACGGUAAUUACUUAGAAAGUCACGGCUAACUACGUGACAGCAUCCGCGGUAAUACGUAGGUGGCAAGCGUUGUCCGGAUUUAUUGGGCGUAAAGCGAGUGCAGGCGUUUCAAUAAGUUUGAUGUGAAAGUCUUCGGCUCAACCGGAGAAUUGCAUCAGAAACUGUUGGACUUGAGUGCAGAAGAGGAGAGUGGAACUCGAUGUGUAGCGGUGGAAUGCGUAGAUAUGUGGAAGAACACCAGUGGAGAAGGCGGCUCUCUGGUCUGCAACUGACGCUGAGGCUCGAAAGCAUGGGUAGCGAACAGGAUUAGAUACCCUAGUAGUC
This 466-nucleotide ribosomal RNA is filed under the name uncultured bacterium. Its description in RNAcentral is "partial 16S ribosomal RNA". It matches the Rfam family "Bacterial small subunit ribosomal RNA", at positions 337 to 795 of the family's 1533-position model. The record is from RNAcentral.